Non-coding RNA from Cinara cedri, 316 nucleotides. NCBI's taxonomy places the organism in Eukaryota, Metazoa, Arthropoda, Insecta, Hemiptera, Aphididae. The record is from the annotation of a GenBank genome assembly.
CAAGUUUGGUACUGAAUGUGAUAUACAUAAAGAAAAUACUUAAAUACAAAGUAAAAUAAAAGUCGAAAGCAUUAUACACCAAAUAAAACAAAUAGGUGAAUUAUCCUAUCGAACAAAAUAAAUUAUAGUUCAUAUGUCACUAAAUUAAAAAUACAUUAAAUGACCAGCACAUUUGGCAUUCUCGUUAAAUGUAAUAUUGUGUAUAUAUUAUAACAUCACUUUAAUUUAGACGUUUGCUACAUUAUUGUUUAUUUAACCAGUAUUUGUUUUUGCCUUUCUAUCAUGAUCUAUUAUAUAGGUACUUAUAUAUUGUUUU